Molecule: ribosomal RNA, 253 nt
Filed under: uncultured bacterium
Lineage: Bacteria
Description: partial 16S ribosomal RNA
Rfam family: Bacterial small subunit ribosomal RNA
Source: RNAcentral
UACGAAGGGGGCUAGCGUUGUUCGGAAUUACUGGGCGUAAAGCGCGUGCAGGCGGCCUUGCAAGUCGGACGUGAAAUCCCACGGCUCAACCGUGGAAGUGCAUUCGAAACUGCGAGGCUGGAGUCCUGGAGAGGAAAGUGGAAUACUCGGUGUAGAGGUGAAAUUCGUAGAUAUCGAGUGGAACACCGGUGGCGAAGGCGGCUUUCUGGACAGGUACUGACGCUGAGACGCGAAAGCGUGGGGAGCAAACAGG